CCCUAGAUCGAAAUUUAUUAAAUUAAGAUAAGCAAUGGGGGAAGGAGUUUACGGUUGGAUGGGAACCAGGGAAUUGAUGGUUGAGAGUUUGAUUAAGGGUGGGAUCAAUCUCAACAAAUUGAAACCGGGUACUUACAGAUGAUGCUGGUGUUAGUGAGAAUGGAUUUGGUCCUGGUUUAUUCUUGUCACUUUUAUUUCGUUGUAAUAUUGAUCUCUAGGGAAAUGAUUUCAUAUGAUUACCGUGUCUUUUGUAUGGCGGCCCUUUACCUCCUGAAGAAGAGCGACUCUGGAGCAUAGCAAUUAAAUACCAAUUUUUACAUCAGAUUUCUAAUAUACGAGACUGAAAAAAAAACACCCGAGCUCAUUUUGAAGAUCUGAAAAGUUUUACUAUGCCCUUUUCACCCGAAUUUCCUGUGUUGCGGCUAUUGGAAGAAAAUGCUGAUCAUGAAGCGCGGCUUGGAUAUAUCAAAGUUGUUGAGGUCUAUGAACGCGCUGUGCAUGGGGUGACCUAUACCGUGUUUUUCCCAUAAACACUUACGGGGAUCCACGACACCCUGUACGGAGGUCCACCAUGGAAUGGCUUACUGCAUAUGACACCUUAUGUGGACUAAACUUUAAUAAGGAGUUCUAGAGUAAAAUUGAAAUCCCGCGAUGCCAGGUGUAUAUCAUUGUGGCUGGCUAAUGUUUGAAGCACCGAGUGUUGGAUGAUGUGACAUAGGGUUUCACUGGAGAAGAUGAAAGAGGGAACCUUUUAUGAUUUGCUUGAAAACGAAGGGAGAGACGUUGAUGGUAGGAAAGUCACCAAGGAGGAGGCUCUUCGUAUUAUCGACAAGUAUAAUAAUUAUAACAGGAACCGAUAUUAUGAGGUGGAUGGCGAGAAGAAGCUGGGCAAGGUGGAGAGAACCUUCACCCCUGAAAGUCUUGAAGAAUUAAGGAAGGCAUUAGGUCUACCCCCUAAUUGGAAAGAAAAUAUGCCCAAAGUUAGGGAGAACAUAGCCAAGAGGAAGGACAAGGAGGACAAGGAGAGGCAGAAGCGGAUAGAGGAGGAGAAGAAGCGGGUGGCUGAGAUUAAUGCAUGGCUUGGUUGGUCCUCUGAGGAGGAGGUGCAGCGCCCACCCGUCGGCGCAGGAUGGCUCUUGGAUGAAGGUUAUCAAAAAAUGUUCAAGUACAUGAAACCCGACCCCAAUGAGGACCCCUAUGAGCAGAAGGAGGAUGGUCUAUAACAUAUAAGCCUGCAGUUUGAAAUCAUUAAUUGGUUCUUAAUAAUUACGAGUAUUAUUAUUAAGAAACAUAAGUAGGCUGAUUAUAACUACUGCUUAAUUGCUUGCUCGUGUGUUUUUUUAGUAAUCUUGUGUCAAACUUUGAUCAUCCAUGCAUGUUGUUGGA
Molecule: long non-coding RNA, 1386 nt
Organism: Erigeron canadensis
Lineage: Eukaryota; Viridiplantae; Streptophyta; Magnoliopsida; Asterales; Asteraceae
Exons: 4
Source: RefSeq, a predicted model, not a curated record